AAUCAAAUCAGAAAUAGAGGUGGCUGGCAAAAAUUUGUCGGCAUAAUAGGGAAACAGGUGAAAAUCCUGUACGGUACCGCCGCUGUGUAAGAAGAGUUUUUCCAGGAAUACCACUGGUCAUUCGGGAAGGUAGGAAAAAUGAAGACGCUUGAGUCAGAAAACCUGCCUGUAUGGAUAUUCAUUAU
RNAcentral lists this non-coding RNA (185 nucleotides) under Acetobacterium wieringae. Lineage: Bacteria; Bacillati; Bacillota; Clostridia; Eubacteriales; Eubacteriaceae. The record is from RNAcentral.